RNAcentral lists this long non-coding RNA (294 nucleotides) under Bos taurus (domestic cattle). Its description in RNAcentral is "long non-coding RNA NONBTAT013669". The record is from RNAcentral. Lineage: Eukaryota; Metazoa; Chordata; Mammalia; Artiodactyla; Bovidae.
GAUAUCUUAAUCAUUAGUUCCAAAAUUUAGCCCCCAAAUGAAAUUUAUGACUUGAGCAAGACACUCUUCCUCCCUCAAUAACAUCUUUUGUGUCCUUGAAAAAAUGGAAGUAACCAGUAUAAAGGUGAGUAGCACAACUCCAAUCAACAGGACAAAGGUUUCCCUCAUCGCUACCUGUACAUUUCCAGAGAAGAAAUACGGGCUUCAGGAAAAGGUGCUGAGAUUUAUUUUCUGCAUGAGGGAAAUCAAACAGCCGCAAAACUUCAUGAACUAUAUUAAACUGACGUGCCAUCC